GGUGCAAGCCGACCUGUCGUCGUUCCGCUCUGCGGGAGGGAGGAAAGUCCGGGCAACAUAGAGCGCCAUACUUCCUAACGGGAAGGGAUCAGGCUGGCGACGGUCUGAUUACAGAUAGUGCCACAGAAAAUAUACCGCCUUGAUCCCGAUAGCUAUUGGGAUAGGGUAAGGGUGAAAUGGUGGGGUAAGAGCCCACCGUCCUGGCAGUGAUGUCAGGAGCAGGGUAAACCUUAUGGGUUGAAAGACCAAAUAGGUCCCGCACCGGAUUCAAUUCCGGAAAAGGCGGCUCGUCUUUCUGCGGGAUGGGUAGGUCGAUGGACCUUGGUUGCAAAGCCAAGGCUAGAUAAAUGACAGGUAAAUCAUUCAUCAGGAAUGAGGAACAGAACCCGGCUUAUAGGCUUGCACCUAUU
Molecule: RNase P RNA, 410 nt
Filed under: Mongoliibacter ruber
Lineage: Bacteria; Pseudomonadati; Bacteroidota; Cytophagia; Cytophagales; Cyclobacteriaceae
Description: Bacterial RNase P class A
Rfam family: Bacterial RNase P class A
About the family: Ribonuclease P (RNase P) is a ubiquitous endoribonuclease, found in archaea, bacteria and eukarya as well as chloroplasts and mitochondria. Its best characterised activity is the generation of mature 5'-ends of tRNAs by cleaving the 5'-leader elements of precursor-tRNAs.
Source: RNAcentral